Molecule: ribosomal RNA, 253 nt
Filed under: uncultured bacterium
Lineage: Bacteria
Also listed under: 1 other name
Description: partial 16S ribosomal RNA
Rfam family: Bacterial small subunit ribosomal RNA
Source: RNAcentral
GACGAACCGUCCAAACGUUGUUCGGAAUCACUGGGCUUAAAGGGCGCGUAGGCAGGUUCGCAAGUCUGGGGUGAAAUCUUUCGGCUUAACCGGAAAAGGGCCUUGGAUACUGCGAGUCUCGAGGGAGGUAGGGGCCUGUGGAACUUUGGGUGGAGCGGUGAAAUGCGUUGAUAUCCAAAGGAACGCCGGUGGCGAAAGCGACGGGCUGGACCUCUUCUGACGCUGAGGCGCGAAAGCUAGGGGAGCAAACGGG